Molecule: ribosomal RNA, 2900 nt
Filed under: Cronobacter sakazakii
Lineage: Bacteria; Pseudomonadati; Pseudomonadota; Gammaproteobacteria; Enterobacterales; Enterobacteriaceae
Description: Bacterial large subunit ribosomal RNA
Rfam family: Bacterial large subunit ribosomal RNA
Source: RNAcentral
GUUAAGCGAACAAGCGUACACGGUGGAUGCCCUGGCAGUCAGAGGCGAUGAAGGACGUGCUAAUCUGCGAAAAGCGCCGGUAAGGUGAUAUGAACCGUUAUAACCGGCGAUGUCCGAAUGGGGAAACCCGGUGCACUUCGGUGCAUCAUCGUUAGCUGAAUACAUAGGCUAACGAGGCGAACCGGGGGAACUGAAACAUCUAAGUACCCCGAGGAAAAGAAAUCAACCGAGAUUCCCCCAGUAGCGGCGAGCGAACGGGGAACAGCCCAGAGCCUGAAUCAGCUUGUGUGUCAGUGGAACGGUCUGGAAAGGCCGGCGAUACAGGGUGACAGCCCCGUACACGAAGGCACACAGGCUGUGAGCUCGAUGAGUAGGGCGGGACACGUGAUAUCCUGUCUGAAGAUGGGGGGACCAUCCUCCAAGGCUAAAUACUCCUGACUGACCGAUAGUGAACCAGUACCGUGAGGGAAAGGCGAAAAGAACCCCGGCGAGGGGAGUGAAACAGAACCUGAAACCGUGUACGUACAAGCAGUGGGAGCCUUCGUAAGAGGGUGACUGCGUACCUUUUGUAUAAUGGGUCAGCGACUUAUAUUCUGUAGCAAGGUUAACCGUAUAGGGGAGCCGAAGGGAAACCGAGUCUUAACCGGGCGUUAAGUUGCAGGGUAUAGACCCGAAACCCGGUGAUCUAGCCAUGGGCAGGUUGAAGGUUGGGUAACACUAACUGGAGGACCGAACCGACUAAUGUUGAAAAAUUAGCGGAUGACCUGUGGCUGGGGGUGAAAGGCCAAUCAAACCGGGAGAUAGCUGGUUCUCCCCGAAAGCUAUUUAGGUAGCGCCUCGUGAACUCAUCUCCGGGGGUAGAGCACUGUUUCGGCUAGGGGGCCAUCCCGGCUUACCAACCCGAUGCAAACUGCGAAUACCGGAGAAUGUUAUCACGGGAGACACACGGCGGGUGCUAACGUCCGUCGUGAAGAGGGAAACAACCCAGACCGCCAGCUAAGGUCCCAAAGUCAUGGUUAAGUGGGAAACGAUGUGGGAAGGCCCAGACAGCCAGGAUGUUGGCUUAGAAGCAGCCAUCAUUUAAAGAAAGCGUAAUAGCUCACUGGUCGAGUCGGCCUGCGCGGAAGAUGUAACGGGGCUAAACCAUGCACCGAAGCUGCGGCAGCGACACGUAUGUGUUGUUGGGUAGGGGAGCGUUCUGUAAGCCUGUGAAGGUGUGCUGUGAGGCAUGCUGGAGGUAUCAGAAGUGCGAAUGCUGACAUAAGUAACGAUAAAGCGGGUGAAAAGCCCGCUCGCCGGAAGACCAAGGGUUCCUGUCCAACGUUAAUCGGGGCAGGGUGAGUCGACCCCUAAGGCGAGGCCGAAAGGCGUAGUCGAUGGGAAACAGGUUAAUAUUCCUGUACUUGGUGUUACUGCGAAGGGGGGACGGAGAAGGCUAUGUCGGCCGGGCGACGGUUGUCCCGGUUUAAGCGUGUAGGCUGACUUUCCAGGCAAAUCCGGAAGGUUAAGGCUGAGGCGUGAUGACGAGGCACCACGGUGCUGAAGUGACAAAUGCCCUGCUUCCAGGAAAAGCCUCUAAGCAUCAGGUAACAUCAAAUCGUACCCCAAACCGACACAGGUGGUCAGGUAGAGAAUACCAAGGCGCUUGAGAGAACUCGGGUGAAGGAACUAGGCAAAAUGGUGCCGUAACUUCGGGAGAAGGCACGCUGACAUGUAGGUGAAGCCCCUGCGGGUGGAGCUGAAGUCAGUCGAAGAUACCAGCUGGCUGCAACUGUUUAUUAAAAACACAGCACUGUGCAAACACGAAAGUGGACGUAUACGGUGUGACGCCUGCCCGGUGCCGGAAGGUUAAUUGAUGGGGUUAUCGCAAGAGAAGCUCCUGAUCGAAGCCCCGGUAAACGGCGGCCGUAACUAUAACGGUCCUAAGGUAGCGAAAUUCCUUGUCGGGUAAGUUCCGACCUGCACGAAUGGCGUAAUGAUGGCCAGGCUGUCUCCACCCGAGACUCAGUGAAAUUGAACUCGCUGUGAAGAUGCAGUGUACCCGCGGCAAGACGGAAAGACCCCGUGAACCUUUACUACAGCUUGACACUGAACAUUGAGCCUUGAUGUGUAGGAUAGGUGGGAGGCUUUGAAGCGUGGACGCCAGUCUGCGUGGAGCCGACCUUGAAAUACCACCCUUUAAUGUUUGAUGUUCUAACCUGGCGCCGUGAUCCGGCGUGGGGACAGUGUCUGGUGGGUAGUUUGACUGGGGCGGUCUCCUCCCAAAGUGUAACGGAGGAGCACGAAGGUCAGCUAAUCCUGGUCGGACAUCAGGAGGUUAGUGCAAUGGCAUAAGCUGGCUUGACUGCGAGAGUGACGGCUCGAGCAGGUGCGAAAGCAGGUCAUAGUGAUCCGGUGGUUCUGUAUGGAAGGGCCAUCGCUCAACGGAUAAAAGGUACUCCGGGGAUAACAGGCUGAUACCGCCCAAGAGUUCAUAUCGACGGCGGUGUUUGGCACCUCGAUGUCGGCUCAUCACAUCCUGGGGCUGAAGUAGGUCCCAAGGGUAUGGCUGUUCGCCAUUUAAAGUGGUACGCGAGCUGGGUUUAGAACGUCGUGAGACAGUUCGGUCCCUAUCUGCCGUGGGCGCUGGAGAAUUGAGGGGGGCUGCUCCCAGUACGAGAGGACCGGAGUGGACGCAUCACUGGUGUUCGGGUUGUCAUGCCAAUGGCACUGCCCGGUAGCUAAAUGCGGAAGAGAUAAGUGCUGAAAGCAUCUAAGCACGAAACUUGCCCCGAGAUGAGUUCUCCCUGAGACUGUAAGUCUCCUGAAGGAACGUUGAAGACGACGACGUUGAUAGGCCGGGUGUGUAAGCGCAGCGAUGCGUUGAGCUAACCGGUACUAAUGAACCGUGAGGCUUAACC